Molecule: ribosomal RNA, 588 nt
Filed under: uncultured bacterium
Lineage: Bacteria
Description: bacterial SSU rRNA
Rfam family: Bacterial small subunit ribosomal RNA
Source: RNAcentral
GGACCCGCACAAGCGGUGGAUGAUGUGGAUUAAUUCNAUGCAACGCGAAAAACCUUACCUACCCUUGACAUGGCUGGAAUCCUUGAGAGAUCAGGGAGUGCUCGAAAGAGAACCAGUACACAGGUGCUGCAUGGCUGUCGUCAGCUCGUGUCGUGAGAUGUUGGGUUAAGUCCCGCAACGAGCGCAACCCUUGUCAUUAGUUGCUACGAAAGAGCACUCUAAUGAGACUGCCGGUGACAAACCGGAGGAAGGUGGGGAUGACGUCAAGUCCUCAUGGCCCUUAUGGGUAGGGCUUCACACGUCAUACAAUGGUACAUACAGAGCGCCGCCAACCCGCGAGGGGGGGCUAAUCGCAGAAAGUGUAUCGUAGUCCGGAUUGUAGUCUGCAACUCGACUGCAUGAAGUUGGAAUCGCUAGUAAUCGCGGAUCAGCAUGUCGCGGUGAAUACGUUCCCGGGUCUUGUACACACCGCCCGUCACACCAUGGGAGCGGGUUUUACCAGAAGUAGGUAGCUUAACCGUAAGGAGGGCGCUUACCACGGUAGGAUUCGUGACUGGGGUGAAGUCGUAACAAGGUAACCGUAAGGGC